UGGAAUCAAACUGAUUAUGACAAUGAAACAUGUUACUACGGUUACACUGGGCCAGAUACAUCUAAUGGAGAAAUCAAAAUCUACAACUGCAGUUUGGGUUCCUGCCAUAAUGGAACGUGCAUCCCAAAUGGUGAAUGCGCCGAGUGCUGGUAACGGAAGCAAGCGGAAGCGUGACGUAUUCGCUGCAAGUGCUGACAACACCACGAGUGAAGAAAACGGCCCUUCCAUUUGGCGUUUAGGCUUCACAAGAUGAUCCAGAAGCAGUUUAGCGUAAAUUGUGGUUUGGUAAAAGGAAAUAAAUAUUACAUGGGGUGA
This is a long non-coding RNA of Dermacentor silvarum, 315 nucleotides long. RefSeq lists it as uncharacterized. The transcript has 2 exons. Lineage: Eukaryota; Metazoa; Arthropoda; Arachnida; Ixodida; Ixodidae. The record is from RefSeq and is a predicted model, not a curated record.